RNAcentral lists this ribosomal RNA (390 nucleotides) under Clostridioides difficile. RNAcentral's name for it is "bacterial SSU rRNA". It matches the Rfam family "Bacterial small subunit ribosomal RNA", at positions 167 to 575 of the family's 1533-position model. The record is from RNAcentral. Lineage: Bacteria; Bacillati; Bacillota; Clostridia; Peptostreptococcales; Peptostreptococcaceae.
UACGGGAUAAUAUAUUUGAGAGGCAUCUCUUAAAUAUCAAAGGUGAGCCGGUACAGGAUGGACCCGCGUCUGAUUAGCUAGUUGGUAAGGUAACGGCUUACCAAGGCGACGGUCAGUAGCCGACCGGGCGGGGUGAUCGGCCACAUUGGAACUGAGACACGGGCCAAACUCCGACGGGAGGCAGCAGUGGGGAAUAUUGCACAAUGGGCGAAAGCCUGAUGCAGCAACGCCGCGUGAGUGAUGAAGGCCUUCGGGUCGUAAAACUCUGUCCUCAAGGAAGAUAAUGACGGUACUUGAGGAGGAAGCCCCGGCUAACUACGUGCCAGCAGCCGCGGUAAUACGUAGGGGGCUAGCGUUAUCCGGAUUUACUGGGCGUAAAGGGUGCGUAGG